CGCGUGGGAACAUACCCUUUUCUACGGAAUAGCCUCUGGAAACGGAGAGUAAUACCGUAUACGCCCUUCGGGGGAAAGAUUUAUCGGUUAAGGAUUGGCCCGCGUUAGAUUAGAUAGUUGGUGGGGUAAUGGCCUACCAAGUCUACGAUCUAUAGCUGGUUUGAGAGGAUGAUCAGCAACACUGGGACUGAGACACGGCCCAGACUCCUACGGGAGGCAGCAGUGGGGAAUCUUAGACAAUGGGCGCAAGCCUGAUCUAGCGAUGCCGCGUGAGUGACGAAGGCCUUAGGGUCGUAAAGCUCUUUCACCAGGGAUGAUAAUGACAGUACCUGGAAAAGAAACCCCGGCUAACUCCGUGCCAGCAGCCGCGGUAAUACGGAGGGGGUUAGCGUUGUUCGGAAUUACUGGGCGUAAAGCGCACGUAGGCGGAUUAGUAAGUUAGAGGUGAAA
RNAcentral lists this ribosomal RNA (450 nucleotides) under Octadecabacter sp. ini2. Its description in RNAcentral is "bacterial SSU rRNA". It matches the Rfam family "Bacterial small subunit ribosomal RNA", at positions 114 to 599 of the family's 1533-position model. Lineage: Bacteria; Pseudomonadati; Pseudomonadota; Alphaproteobacteria; Rhodobacterales; Roseobacteraceae. The record is from RNAcentral.